UUUUAUUAGAAAUUAUUAAUAGUAAAAUCUGCUCACUGAUAAUUAAAGAGCCGCAAUUCGUGCUAAGGUAGCAUAAUCACUCGUCUUUUAAUUGAGGACUAGAACAAACGAUUUAACAUUUCAAUUAAUCUUUUUAAUUUUAAAAUCAAAAUUUUUCCAAAUGUAAAAAAACAUUUAUUUUAUAGAAAGACGAUAAGACCCUAUUAAACUUUACUUUAGUUAAACUGGGGCAGUUAAUUAAUUAUUAUUUUAAUUUAAAUAAUAUUAAAAAUAUCUAAUAUCAUUAAAUAAUUCAGUUACUAUAGGGAUAACAGCAUAAUUAUUUUUUAAAGCUCAUAUACAAAAAAUAGAUUAUGACCUCGAUGUUGAAUUAAUAACCUAAUUAGAGCAAGAUUUAAUAAAGGAAGUCUGUUCGACUUUUAAAAAAUU
RNAcentral lists this ribosomal RNA (429 nucleotides) under Stenaelurillus lesserti. RNAcentral describes it as "partial 16S ribosomal RNA". The record is from RNAcentral. Lineage: Eukaryota; Metazoa; Arthropoda; Arachnida; Araneae; Salticidae.